Molecule: ribosomal RNA, 1378 nt
Filed under: uncultured bacterium
Lineage: Bacteria
Description: bacterial SSU rRNA
Rfam family: Bacterial small subunit ribosomal RNA
Source: RNAcentral
UUGAGCGCUGGCGGUAUGCUUAACACAUGCAAGUCGAACGGAAACGAUACUAGCUUGCUAGUAGGCGUCGAGUGGCGGACGGGUGAGUAACGCGUAGGAAUCUGCCUGAUAGUGGGGGAUAGCCCGAAGAAAUUCGGAUUAAUACCGCAUAAUCUAUUCGUAGUAAAGUGGGGGACUUUCGAGCCUCACGCUAUCAGAUGAGCCUGCGUAAGAUUAGCUUGUUGGUAGGGUAAAAGCCUACCAAGGCGACGAUCUUUAGCUGGUCUGAGAGGAUGAUCAGCCACAUCGGGACUGAGACACGGCCCGAACUCCUACGGGAGGCAGCAGUGGGGAAUAUUGGACAAUGGGGGCAACCCUGAUCCAGCAAUACCGCGUGUGUGAAGAAGGCCUGAGGGUUGUAAAGCACUUUCAAUUGUGAAGAAAAGUUAGCGGUUAAUAACCGUUAGCCUUGACGUUAACUUUAGAAGAAGCACCGGCUAACUCCGUGCCAGCAGCCGCGGUAAUACGGAGGGUGCAAGCGUUAAUCGGAAUUACUGGGCGUAAAGCGUGCGUAGGCGGUUUAUUAAGUCAGAUGUGAAAGCCCCGGGCUUAACCUGGGAACUGCAUUUGAAACUGGUCAACUAGAGUAUGGUAGAGGAAAGUGGAAUUUCUGGUGUAGCGGUGAAAUGCGUAGAUAUCAGAAGGAACAUCAAUGGCGAAGGCAGCUUUCUGGACCAAUACUGACGCUGAGGUACGAAAGCGUGGGUAGCAAACAGGAUUAGAUACCCUGGUAGUCCACGCCGUAAACGAUGAUAACUAGCCGUUGGGGGGAUUUACCCUUUAGUGGCGAAGCUAACGCGUUAAGUUAUCCGCCUGGGGAGUACGGCCGCAAGGUUAAAACUCAAAGGAAUUGACGGGGACCCGCACAAGCGGUGGAGCAUGUGGUUUAAUUCGAUGCAACGCGAAGAACCUUACCUGGUCUUGGCAUCCUGCGAACUUUCUAGAAAUAGAUUGGUGCCUUCGGGAACGCAGUGACAGGUGCUGCAUGGCUGUCGUCAGCUCGUGUCGUGAGAUGUUGGGUUAAGUCCCGUAACGAGCGCAACCCCUAUCCUUAUUUGCCAGCACAUCAUGGUGGGAACUAUAAGGAGACUGCCGGUGAUAAACCGGAGGAAGGCGGGGACGACGUCAAGUCAUCAUGGCCCUUACGACCAGGGCUACACACGUGCUACAAUGGGAAGGACAAAGAGCCGCGAAGCCGCGAGGUGUAGCUAAUCUCAUAAACCUUUUCGUAGUCCGGAUUGGAGUCUGCAACUCGACUCCAUGAAGUCGGAAUCGCUAGUAAUCGUAGAUCAGAAUGCUACGGUGAAUACGUUCCCGGGUCUUGUACACACCGCCCGUC